Molecule: long non-coding RNA, 363 nt
Filed under: Gossypium barbadense (sea-island cotton)
Lineage: Eukaryota; Viridiplantae; Streptophyta; Magnoliopsida; Malvales; Malvaceae
Description: long non-coding RNA (GBAR_LNC014593)
Source: RNAcentral
AAAAACUCCUCAUCUGAACCCAACUUGUUGCAUUUUAUCCAGGUUUGUUGUCUAUGCCGUGCUGCAAUCAAAUAGUUCCAUAGGGGUGAAGACAAUUACUCCACAUUUCUGGUGGCAUGUUUGUUGAGUUCUUAGCAUAUUUUGACUAUUCGUUAUUAUAUUGGGGAGAACAGAUGUCAGGUCAAAGUCAGAAAGCUAUUCAAACUACAAGAAAGUUCAAUGAAGGUUUCUUCUGCACAUGAGACUGAGACUACCCCUUGGAUGAUCAAAGCCAAACUCCUCUUCCAGCCUGAUUUAUCAAUUCUUAAAAUGAAGGGUGCUUCAAGAAUGAAAUUGGAUGGCCUUUGGUUAUUUAUGAAGCUG